This 68-nucleotide transfer RNA is filed under the name Pachytriton brevipes (black-spotted stout newt). RNAcentral's name for it is "tRNA-Tyr". It matches the Rfam family "tRNA". Rfam says of the family: Transfer RNA (tRNA) molecules are approximately 80 nucleotides in length. Their secondary structure includes four short double-helical elements and three loops (D, anti-codon, and T loops). Further hydrogen bonds mediate the characteristic L-shaped molecular structure. tRNAs have two regions of fundamental functional importance: the anti-codon, which is responsible for specific mRNA codon recognition, and the 3' end, to which the tRNAs corresponding amino acid is attached (by aminoacyl-tRNA synthetases). tRNAs cope with the degeneracy of the genetic code in two manners: having more than one tRNA (with a specific anti-codon) for a particular amino acid; and 'wobble' base-pairing, i.e. permitting non-standard base-pairing at the 3rd anti-codon position. The record is from RNAcentral. Lineage: Eukaryota; Metazoa; Chordata; Amphibia; Caudata; Salamandridae.
GGUAAGAUGGCCGAAGCAGGUGCAAGGUUGUAGCCCUUGUCAUAAAGGUUAGAAUCCUUUUCUUAUCA